Lolium perenne is the source of this 1273-nucleotide non-coding RNA. NCBI's taxonomy places the organism in Eukaryota, Viridiplantae, Streptophyta, Magnoliopsida, Poales, Poaceae. The record is from RefSeq and is a predicted model, not a curated record.
UUUUCUGAGACUGAUGACCUAAUUUCCUCACUGUUAUAAAUUGGGUCAUGUUUUAUAUUGUUCAGUAAGUUUCUGUCCAAUAGAUCUAGAAGGGGAGCUGGUCAUGGGAUUCUGACGGAAAAAAGACUCGAACACAGCAGUAUGUCCGGAUGACAGAUUAUACUGCAAAAGAUUCAAGUCAGGGCAAACGCUACAAGAUAUCUGUUAGAAUCACUGAAGUUCUCACAAAAAAAGGGGUGGUAUUAUAUAAGCUGCAUAGAAUGCUGGAAGAAAGUAGGUUAGCGGAUGGAGUAUACAAAUGUCCUCGGUGCCCUACUGUUGUACCUCUGCCAAGACUUAUAUUUGUUUGGGCCCUGAGGAGAAGUUGUCUUUGGAAAAGAGGCAUUGAUGCUUGUGUCAAGUGUCAGAGGUCAAGCUGAUGCAGUGCCCCAUGAUUUGCUUGCCAUCACGGGAAGAGAAUUCAGUGUCAUUGUAACUCCCAAUGUGUGAAUCAUUAGAUGCAUUGCACAGCCACCUCCAGUUACAGAUUGCCGAGCCGAUUAUCUGUGCCAAUGUUACUCUGCAACAAGGCAUUUUAAGGGUCUCCCUAUUCCUCAAACUCCAAAGCAGGUUCAAGGCCCUGGUGAAACUUCAACUCCGGCACCGUCCAUGGAUCUUAUGCCACAGAGUACACCAUCAUCAGCUUCUAUAGUCGAUGAGUUAAAAUUGUGUUGUCUUAGCAGAGCACCUCUGUUUUUGAUUUUCUGACAAACAAUGCCUUCUGCCUAUAGACUGCCUCUGAUACUGCUGGAAGAACAAACUGCAAGAACGAUGGUGCUGGUAAGAACCUCAAGUCGAAGAAGGGAUUGCAUUUCUGAGAUGAUGACUAGGUUGCUUCACACGUUCUCGCGCACGUAUCAUACAACUCGCAUAGAGAGUGAAGGAUUGGAUAAUUCAGUCGUCAGAAGUACUGCAUCUACUACCGUUUCUACUAUCUACAAGCUAUUCUCUGGCUGGUAUAUGUAGCAAGUAGGCUUUGUUUUGGGGCAUGGUUCUGUUGUUCAAGGCCCAUAGGUUUAUCCUGUGUAUGCCUUUUUUUUUUAUAUCAAUGACCAGUAGACUGUUUAGACCAUGUCCUCAAGUCCUACGAGUUAUCUGUGCUCAUAGGUGUUAUGUCUGUUUUGUUAAAGAUCUACUACUUUGGCUGUCAUCACCUUCACUGUAUAAUACGUCCUUGCACACUCAUGUGUUAUCAUAUGCCAUGUAAUAUAUUGACCUAGCUCUUCUACCGUUA